RNAcentral lists this ribosomal RNA (426 nucleotides) under uncultured bacterium. RNAcentral describes it as "bacterial SSU rRNA". It matches the Rfam family "Bacterial small subunit ribosomal RNA", at positions 354 to 794 of the family's 1533-position model. The record is from RNAcentral.
UGGGGGAAUAUUGGGCAAUGGGCGAAAGCCUGACCCAGCAACGCCGCGUGAAGGAUGAAGGUUUUCGGAUUGUAAACUUCUGAUCUGUGGGAAAAAACAAAUGAUGGUACCACAGGAGAAAGCUCCGGCAAACUACGUGCCAGCAGCCGCGGUAAUACGUAGGGAGCAAGCGUUGUCCGGAAUGACUGGGCGUAAAGGGAGCGUAGGUGGCCUUUUAAGUGAAAUGUGAAAGCCCGGGGCUCAACUCCGGAAUGUCAUUUCAUACUGGAAGGCUGGAGUGCAGGAGAGGUAAGCGGAAUUCCUAGUGUAGCGGUAAAAUGCGUAGAUAUUAGGAAGAACACCAGAGGCGAAGGCGGCUUGCUGGACUGUAACUGACACUGAGGCUCGAAAGCGUGGGGAGCAAACAGGAUUAGAUACCCUGGUAGU